This 253-nucleotide ribosomal RNA is filed under the name uncultured bacterium. RNAcentral describes it as "partial 16S ribosomal RNA". It matches the Rfam family "Bacterial small subunit ribosomal RNA", at positions 524 to 776 of the family's 1533-position model. The record is from RNAcentral.
UACGAGGGGGGCUAGCGUUGCUCGGAAUUACUGGGCGUAAAGGGAGCGUAGGCGGACAUUUAAGUCAGGGGUGAAAUCCCAGAGCUCAACUCUGGAACUGCCUUUGAUACUGGAUGUCUUGAGUGUGAGAGAGGUAUGUGGAACUCCGAGUGUAGAGGUGAAAUUCGUAGAUAUUCGGAAGAACACCAGUGGCGAAGGCGACAUACUGGCUCAUUACUGACGCUGAGGCUCGAAAGCGUGGGGAGCAAACAGG